AUUGAACGCUAGCGGGAGGCCUUACACAUGCAAGUCGAACGGAGUGGCGGACGGGUGAGUAAUAUAUGGGAAAGUGCCCAGUAGAGGGGGAUAACUACUAGAAAGAGUGGCUAAUACCGCAUACUAUCUGAGCGGCCGAUAUCGGAUGAGCUAGUUGGUGGGGUAAAGGCUCACCAAGGCAACUAUCCGUAGCUGGUUUGAGAGGAAGACCAGCCACACUGGGACUGAGACACGGCCCAGACUCCUACGGGAGGCAGCAGUGGGGAAUAUUGGACAAUGGGCGAAACCCUGAUCCAGCCAUGCCGCGUGUAUGAUGAAGGCCUUCGGGUUGUAAAGUACUUUUGGCAGAGAGGCGGUAUCUGCAGAAUAAGCACCGGCUAACUACGUGCCAGCAGCCGCGGUAAUUC
RNAcentral lists this ribosomal RNA (407 nucleotides) under uncultured bacterium. Its description in RNAcentral is "partial 16S ribosomal RNA". It matches the Rfam family "Bacterial small subunit ribosomal RNA", at positions 30 to 526 of the family's 1533-position model. The record is from RNAcentral.